This 467-nucleotide ribosomal RNA is filed under the name uncultured bacterium. RNAcentral describes it as "partial 16S ribosomal RNA". It matches the Rfam family "Bacterial small subunit ribosomal RNA", at positions 28 to 507 of the family's 1533-position model. The record is from RNAcentral.
GAUGAACGCUGGCGGCGCGCCUAACACAUGCAAGUCGAACGAUUAAAGCACCUUCGGGUGUGUAUAAAGUGGCGAACGGCUGAGUAACACGUGGGCAACCUGCCCCUUUCAUUGGGAUAGCCACGGGAAACCGUGGAUAAUACCGAAUACUUCGAGACUUCCGCAUGGAAGACUCGAGAAAGCUCCGGCGGAGAGGGAUGGGCCCGCGGCCUGUUAGCUUGUUGGUGGGGUAACGGCCUACCAAGGCAAUGAUGGGUAGCUGGGUUGAGAGACCGACCAGCCAGAUUGGGACUGAGACACGGCCCAGACUCCUACGGAAGGCAGCAGUGGGGAAUCUUGCACAAUGGGCGAAAGCCUGAUGCAGCGACGCCGCGUGCGGGAUGAAGGCCUUCGGGUUGUAAACCGCUUUCAGCAGGGACGAGGCGAAAGUGACGGUACCUGCAGAAGAAGCCCCGGCUAACUACGUG